This is a long non-coding RNA of Ictalurus punctatus (channel catfish), 6709 nucleotides long. The record is from Ensembl. Lineage: Eukaryota; Metazoa; Chordata; Actinopteri; Siluriformes; Ictaluridae.
UUGGUGUGUAUCUGCGCAAAUGUUGCGCAUUUGUAACGCGCAUGAAGGCAUCCUUUGAAUGUAUGGCGGCGUCGUUUGUGUGGAUUAUGCGUCAACAUUUCUGUCCUGGUUAUGGAAACGUUUAUGAUUCAUGCGAUUAUAUGUAGACAAUAAACUAGUGUUUAAAAAAACAAAACAAAUGAGAGAGAUGUUUUUUUAAAGAAGUAGCGCUAGAAUUGAGUGCUGUUACUAUACGGAGCUAAAUAGCUAGCUUAGCUUCCUGCAUUAAGGCCUAAUUGUGAGCUUGGCACGUUUUAGGAAGCAACCUUGGGGAUAGAUAUGAGUGUUUAGUUACAUGUUGUAUCAUUUUGAAUUUAGUCGGUUAAUCUGCUUUGAAAUUAUAUAGUGAGGUUCUGCAAACAUGUUAAAUGACCUGAGCAUUGGAUGAUGAUGAUGAUGAUGACCUGCUAAUUUAGACAUUGAUCUCUGAAGGCUUUAUUCUGAAGGUCCACCUUCCUCUGAGCUGAAGCUUUAUCUCCUAGAACAGCAGCAAACAUGACUGGAAUCCAAUCCAGAGAUGAGUCGGUUGGAGACAGUUCUGAUGAUGAACCUCUGAGUAAAAUGGUGAAACCUGGCAAGAAGUGUCCAGAAGAUGCACCCUCGGAUAUCAUGGAAGAUGCUUCACCAAAGAAAACCCUUAAAGAGCCCACCUCUGCUGCGGAUGUUCCAGCAUCCCAGGUUUUCCCAGGGUUUCCUCAGGGUUCUCCAGUUUCCUCCCAGGUCCCACAAAACAAGUGCCCUGGACACAGCUCUGAUGACGAGCCUCUGAGCAAACUGACUGAAUCAAAGGGGGCGAAGCGCUCAAGUAAACAAAAAGAGACUGCUGCGGGGAAGCAGUCAGAAUCUGAAGACGAUCAGCCGCUGACGAUGAUUAUCAAGAAGAAGAAGCAGAAGGCUGACACAGAAGAGCCUGAAGAUGCCAAGAAGACCAGAAGCCCAAAAAAGCGUAAAGCUGUGACGAAGGCCUCAAAGCUCAGAGAUUCAUCACCCUCGCCAUCGCCGUCGCCAGUGAAGGCCACACAGAGAAGAGGACAAAAAGGUAAGGACGAGUCGAAAAAGAAAGUACCGGCACAUUCACCAGCUGUGAACACGACGCCUAAAAGGAGAGGUCGCGCCAAGAAAGAAGGAAAAGCCCCGUGUAGCGACAGCUCGGAUGACGAGCCCUUGAGCGAGCUGCCGUGGAAGAGGAGCGAGCCAGAGAUGAAGCAGGCGGUGGUGCUGGUGGAGAGGAUGUCUGAAAGAGACGUUAAGGAUGCAGUGGCACGCGGACGUGCACACAGCCAAGAGCAGAAAAGUACAGCCAGAGCAGAGUGUGCAGCGGAGGGCUCAGACGAGGAGCCUCUGAGUCAUAAGAUGAAGAGACUGAAAGAGCAGAGCAAGACUGCGAGAGGCAGGAGACCAGCGGCAGAUGCCAGUUCAGACGACGAGCCCUUGGUGAGGAAAGUGAAAGCAGCGAAGGUGAAGGAUAAGUUUAGAAAGAGAGCUAACGGAGAAGAGGACACAGUCAAACAAGACAGAGAGCUGAGCGAGGAGGACGAGCGUCCACACUGAGAGCCUGGCAGUAGUCACACACAACACAACACGUCUCGCACACGAAUUUAACAGAAGAAACGAGAAGAGGACUCGCUUGUUUCACCGUUCUGUGGAUCAGUAGUUCUGUGCUCAUUCCUUUAUUUAUGUAUAGGAAUAACGUCGCAUUUUCUGAACUCCUAAACCCCGAAACGUGAAUCCCUUUCACUCCAUAACACAUUGAAAAGCUUGAAGUAGUUUCUUUUAUAUUGUUUUAGCAUUUUAAAUUUUGUAUGGUCUUAACCAGGCUUCGGCCUUUUACAUCGUGUACGCUGAUGGUUUUUGAUUUGUAUUUUAAAACAAACAAAAAAAAGUCACUAAAUGUUAUUUACAUAGUUUCUAGGAAGGAAAGUGAAAUGAAAUGUGUUUUUUGAUAAUAUUGACGUGUACACAAGUAUAAACGCAGUGGUGUGAGAGAUAAAUGUGGAGAACGCUGUACAGUAGUUUUCUUUUUGUUUUUUGAUGACCGUUGUUUAGUUUCUUGUGAUUUAAUGUGAUUUUACCAGAUCAGAUUGUUGGAAUUCCCAACAAAUGAAAUAUUCCCGCUGUCAAUACAAUCUAAAGGCUUAAAAAAAUAAAUUACAUCAGUGACUUUGUAAUGAAAAUUGUAGGAACUCUGUGGUUAUUGCCUCUCACCGCUUUUUUCUUUACCGAACCAUACCAUUUUGUCACUCGGCUCUAAUAUAAAUGUCAAGCUUUAGCAAAAAGCUAUAUACAGUCCCCUUCGACACUAUUGGAAAGAAAAGGAAAAUUCAUUUGUUUUUGCUGUAGACUUAAGACAUUUGGGUUUGAGGUCAAAAGAUGAAUAUGAGAAGAGAGUUUUGAAUUUUAGCUUUUAUUUCCUGAUAUUUAUAUGUAAAUGUCUUCAACAAUAUAGAACACAGCACACUUUAUAUCAGAUUACAAAAUUUUGUAGGUGAGCAAAAAAUACUGGAACAUGUGACUGACAGGUGUUUCCUUGUUACCCAGGUGUGUCCUGUUAGAUUGAUUGAUUGCUUGCUUAAACAAUAAAUAGCUCUGAGCAUCUACUCUUGGUUUUAGCUUUCAGUUUCUCCUGUGAAGACUGCAUUUGUUGUUAAAAAGGAUAAACUAACAUGAAGAUCACAGAGCUGUCUAUGGGAGAAAAAUCCAUCAGAGUCACUGCACAAACACUGGGCAUAGCCAAUAGAACAACUUGGAAUGUCCUGAAAAAGAAAGAAACCACUGUUGUACUGAGCAACAGACACCACUGAAUGGGUCGGACAAGGAAAAGAACAACAGCUGAUGACAAACAUUGUAAGAACUGUGAAGAAAAACCCAAAAACAACAGUUAGUGACCUCACCAACAACCUCCACAGGGCUGGGGUAAAGGUAUUUCAAUCCACCAUUUGAAGAAAACUUCAAGUGCAGAAAUAUAGAGGCCAUACCACAAGAUGUAAACCACUCAUCAGCAGUAAGAAUCAGAAAGCCAGGUUGGAAUUCACAAAGAAAUACAGACAUGAGCCACAAAAGUUCUGGAACCAAGAUUAAGCUCUUCCAAAGUGAUUGAAAGUUCAAAGUGUGGAGAAAGAAAGGAUCUGCUCAUAAUUCAAAACAUACGAGCUCAUCUGUGAAACAUGGUGGAGGAACUGUUAUGGAUUGGGUUUGCAUGUCUGCUUCUGGAACAGUCUCACUAAUUUUUAUUGAUGAUGUCACUUGUGAUGGUAGCAGAAGAAUGAAUUCAGAAGUUUACAGGAACAUUUGUCUGCCAAUUUACAGAGAAAUGAAUGAAGAUUAAUAAGGAGGAAUUUUAUCAUGCAGCAAGACAAUGAUCCAAAACACACUGCCAACUCAACAAAGGACUUCAUCAGUGGGGGGAAAGUGGAAGGAUUUAGAACCUCCUGAAGAGAGAAACCUCACGACAACAAACAACUGAAAGAAGCUGCGGUAAAAGCCUGAAAAAUCAUCACAAAAGAAGAAACCAACUUCAUGACUUAUCUUUUCCUAUACUUUUGCUUGCCUAAAAAUUGGGUGGUCUGAUGCAAAAGGUUAUGUUGUUUAAACACGUCUAGAUGUAAAUACCAGGAAAUAAAAGCUGAAAUCCUAAUCCCUCAUCUCAUAUCCAUCUUUUGAUCUAAAACCCAAAUGUUUUUGGUGUACAGCACAAACAAAUUAAUUUGCCUUGCCGUUCCAGUAGGUACAGAGGGGACUGUACCACCUGAACUGAUUGUUCUUCUGCUUCUGGACCAUUUGCUAUAUCAGAACUUUCCCGGUUCGAUCCUGAGCUCGGGUUACUGUCUUUGUGGAGCUUUGCAUGUUCUCUGGUUUCCUCUGACUGUCCAAAAAUCCAAAAACAUACCCAUCCGUGGAUGGAUUACACAAAAUUGUGCCUAGGUGUGCGUGACAGUGUGUAUGGUUGGUGCGCUGUGAUGCACAGAUGUACCAUCUCAUGUGUAUCCCCACCUCACGCCGGGCUCCGGUUCCAGGAUAGUGGCUACCGAAAAUAAAUGAUCGAAUUAAUUGUUAGUAUUAUAUCACACAUUAUUAAACUGCACAUACACUAGAGGCUAGGUUUGCUGUGUUAGAAAUCUGAAUGGUUUCAUAUCUAAUUAGAUUGUAGCUAGCGGAGCUGCUAAAGCUUUCUCUUCUAAACUGAGUUUUUUUGUUGACUUUUUUAAAAAAUCCCUCCUUCAAGUGGUUAUAUCACUUAACAAUUAUUAAAUACGCAAGAUGCAUCUUUUAUUUAUCGCAAAACAACACAAUAGUUUGUUAAACUAUAUAAUAAUCAUAAUAAACUGCAGAUAUACUGUAGAUAUUUAGGUGUUUUGCCAUACUGGUAGUUUUUAAAGGUAGUGUUAAAGUUGCUGAAUGUAAUGUAAAGUAAUGUAAUGAAAGCCGACCCCAUCUUUUCUGCAUUAUAGGUAUUAAUACAUCGACAAUGAAGCCUGAGUAAUGUUAUCUCUCAGGGUCUCACUGAUGCUAUAAUAAGGAACUAUUACACACACUCAAAGACAAAUUGGUAGCUGUAUUCAUGAUUUAUAAUUUAAGUAUUUGUAAAUAGUCUGUAAAUCUGUAUUUCCUCUGAAUACCGAAAAUGCGAAAUGGAAAAGCUGCAACGCCUUCUAUUAAAAACAAACAGAAACCUCCAAGAUGCACUAAACUUACAGUUCUGUUGUCUGUCGUUUUGUGUAAUUUGUACUUUGAUUCAACAAUGUGAGCUUAAUUUACUUUUUUUUUUUCCUACAAAGGCAUUUUUUGGGGGAAAAGGGAUGCACUAUGUUCAUGUUCUUUACAGCCGAGACUGUAUUUCACCUGCGUCUUAACAACCACUUCUGAUACUGUGUUACGGAUGUUUCAUCGAAGCAGGCUGAAGAUGGAGAUCAAAUCUGUUUCACUAAGUGUAAUCAACUGAAACGACAAUCACUGAGAAGGUGCAAGAAACUAUAGUCUGGGAUAGAAAGAAAUCAGUCCCAGACUCAAGUCUUCAUACUGUUCUCUGUAUAUUUCUAAUGACCAGUGGUGGUGAUGUUGCGCUUAGUUGAGAAGAAAUCUCAAAUAAUCCUUUUUUCCAGACUUUUAUUAACAGCAUAUAAUCUGAGCUGGAUGCCUAAAUAUUAAACUGUAUAUUUUGUUUUUGAAAUAUGGUGGGGGAGAGGUGAUAUAUAGAUAGGAUAGAGUGCCCUCCAUUAAUAUUGGCAUCCUUGGUAAAUUUGAGCAAAGAAUGCUGUGAAAAAUUGUCUUUAUUGUUUAACGUUUUGAUCUUUUGUUAAAAAAAUUCACAAAAAUACACUGCUCUCAUGGAUAUCAAACAAUUGCGAACACAGCACAGGUUUAUAAAAAAAUGUUUUAAAAAAAUUUUUGUUAAAAAAACAAAAAAAUUUUUGUUAAAUGUAGGUGUGCAACAGUUAUUGGCACCCUUUUAGUCAAUACUCUGUGCUACCUCUUUGCCAAGAUAACCGCUCUGAGUCUUCUCCUAUAAUGCCUGAUGAGGUUGGAGAAUACACGACAAGGGAUCUGAGACCAUUCCUCCACACAGAAUCUCUCCAGAUCCUUCAAAUUUCGAGGUCCACGCUGGUGGACUCUCCUCUUCAGUUCACCCACAGAUUUUCUAUGGGGUUCAGGUCAGGGGACUGGGAUGGUCAUGGCAGGACCUUGAUUUUGUGGUGAGUAAACCAUUUUUGUCUUGAUUCUGAUGUAUGUUUUAUAUCAUUGUCCUGCUGGAAGAGCCAACCACGGACCAUUUUAGCUUUCUGGCAGAGCGAGUAAGGUUUUCAUUUAAUAUCUGUUGAUAUUUGGUAGAGUCCAUGAUGCCAUGUAUCCUAACAAAAUGUCCAGGUCCUCUGGCAGAAAAACAGCCCCAAAAACAUAAAAGAGUCACCACCAUAUUUAACCGUGGGCAUGAGGUACUUUUCCAUAUGGCUACCUCUCUGUGCGCACCAAAACCACCUCUGGUGUUUAUUACCAAAAAGCUCUAUUUUGGUUUCAUCUGACCAUAGAACCCAAUUCCAUUUUAAGUUCCAGUAGUGUCUGGCAAACUGAAAACGCUCAAGUUUGUUUUUGGAGGAGAGUAGAGGCUUUUUUCUUGAAACCCUUCCAAACAACUUGUGGUGAUGUAGGUGACUUCGGAUUGCAGUUUUGGAGACUUUCUGACCGCAAGACGCAACUAACUUCUGCAAUUUUCCAGCUUUGUUGAACAAUUACCUGUUCAUAGUCACCCAGGUGUACUAAAAAUGUAAAAUAUCAAUGAGAAUAUACUUUUUUUUCUCAAAUGAAUUCAUAGGGGUGCCAAUAAUUGUUGCACAACUAUAUUUAACAAAGAUAUAUAUUUUUAUAAACCUGUGUUGUGUUUGCAAUUGUUUGAUAUCCAUGAGAGCAGAGUAUUUUUGUGAAUUAUUUGAACAAAAUAUCAAAAAGUUAAACAAUAAAGACAAUUUUUCACAGCCUUCUUUGCUCAUAUUUACCAAGGGUGCCAAUAUUAGUGGAGGGUGCUGUAGAUACAUUAUUGAUCUCCUGAGAGAAAUUGCAGUGUUACAGUAGUGGUAAAAAAAAAAAAACAUUUUCAGAUAUCAUGAAUACAAUGAAAAAAAUGUGAAACAAAUAAGUAUAGUGCAUAAACAAAACAAACAACAAUAAUCUAGCCAUA